RNAcentral lists this ribosomal RNA (812 nucleotides) under uncultured bacterium. RNAcentral's name for it is "bacterial SSU rRNA". It matches the Rfam family "Bacterial small subunit ribosomal RNA", at positions 8 to 796 of the family's 1533-position model. The record is from RNAcentral.
AGAGUUUGAUCCUGGCUCAGAAUUAACGCUGGCGGCAUGCCUAACACAUGCAAGUCGCACGAGAAACCCCGGUUCGCCGGGGGAGUACAGUGGCGCACGGGUGAGUAACGCGUGGGUAAUCUACCUCCGUCCGGGGGAUAACGCACCGAAAGGUGCGCUAAUACCGCAUAACCCGGCGAAUCUUCGGAUUGGUCGGCAAAGGUGGCCUCUACAUGUAAGCUACCGGAUAGAGAUGAGCCCGCGUCCCAUUAGCUUGUUGGUGAGGUAAAGGCUCACCAAGGCGACGAUGGGUAGCUGGUCUGAGAGGACGAUCAGCCACACUGGAACUGGAACACGGUCCAGACUCCUACGGGAGGCAGCAGUGAGGAAUAUUGCGCAAUGGGGGAAACCCUGACGCAGCGAUGCCGCGUGGGUGAAGAAGGCCUUCGGGUCGUAAAGCCCUGUCAGGCGGGAAGAACGGCUUGGGGAUGAAUAAUCCUCAGGUUUGACGGUACCGCUGAAGGAAGCACCGGCUAACUACGUGCCAGCAGCCGCGGUAAUACGUAGGGUGCGAGCGUUAAUCGGAAUUACUGGGCGUAAAGCGUGCGCAGGCGGUUUUGUAAGUCAGAUGUGAAAGCCCCGGGCUCAACCUGGGAACUGCGUUUGAAACUACAAGGCUAGAGUGUAGCAGAGGGGGGUAGAAUUCCAGGUGUAGCGGUGAAAUGCGUAGAGAUCUGGAGGAAUACCGAUGGCGAAGGCAGCCUUCUGGCCUAAUACUGACGCUGAGGUGCGAAAGCAUGGGGAGCAAACAGGAUUAGAUACCCUGGUAGUCC